This 462-nucleotide ribosomal RNA is filed under the name uncultured bacterium. RNAcentral describes it as "partial 16S ribosomal RNA". It matches the Rfam family "Bacterial small subunit ribosomal RNA", at positions 28 to 507 of the family's 1533-position model. The record is from RNAcentral.
GACGAACGCUGGCGGCGUGCUUAACACAUGCAAGUCGAGCGGAAAGGCCCUUCGGGGUACUCGAGCGGCGAACGGGUGCGUAACACGUGAGUAACCUGCCCCAGACUUUGGGAUAACCCUCGGAAACGGGGGCUAAUACCGGAUACGACACAGCUUCGCAUGGGGUCUGUGUGGAAAGUUUGUCGGCUUGGGAUGGGCUCGCGGCCUAUCAGCUUGUUGGUGGGGUGGUGGCCUACCAAGGCGACGACGGGUAGCCGGCCUGAGAGGGCGACCGGCCACACUGGGACUGAGACACGGCCCAGACUCCUACGGGAGGCAGCAGUGGGGAAUAUUGCACAAUGGGCGGAAGCCUGAUGCAGCGACGCCGCGUGAGGGAUGACGGCCUUCGGGUUGUAAACCUCUUUCGGCAGGGACGAAGCGUGAGUGACGGUACCUGCAGAAGAAGCGCCGGCCAACUACGUG